Molecule: unclassified non-coding RNA, 23 nt
Filed under: Mus musculus (house mouse)
Lineage: Eukaryota; Metazoa; Chordata; Mammalia; Rodentia; Muridae
Description: oocyte_clustered_small_RNA696
Source: RNAcentral
UACAGGGGAAUGUCGGGGCCAGG